Molecule: ribosomal RNA, 275 nt
Filed under: uncultured Hyphomicrobium sp.
Lineage: Bacteria; Pseudomonadati; Pseudomonadota; Alphaproteobacteria; Hyphomicrobiales; Hyphomicrobiaceae
Description: partial 16S ribosomal RNA
Rfam family: Bacterial small subunit ribosomal RNA
Source: RNAcentral
CCUACGGGUGGCUGCAGUGGGGAAUCUUGGACAAUGGGCGCAAGCCUGAUCCAGCCAUGCCGCGUGAGUGACGAAGGCCUUAGGGUUGUAAAGCUCUUUUGCCGGGGACGAUAAUGACGGUACCCGGAGAAUAAGUCCCGGCUAACUUCGUGCCAGCAGCCGCGGUAAUACGAAGGGGACUAGCGUUGUUCGGAAUUACUGGGCGUAAAGCGCACGUAGGCGGAUUUGUCAGUCAGGGGUGAAAUCCCGGAGCUCAACUUCGGAACUGCCUUUGA